UAAAGUAGUAUAUUGAAAUAAAUGUUCUAAAAAUUAAGAUAAACUCUCAAAACACAGGCCUUAAAGCUCUGCCCUAGUUUCUAGUUCUACACAUCCCACUAUCGGCGUACUCCUCCGUAGCUCUACCCGUCGAGUAAAUCUGUGUUUUGGGAAAACACAGAUUGUAGGUCUGCCAUAGUUUUCCAUCUCCCUUAUUUUCGAAUCUCAGGUUCAAUAUGAAACCAUUAAAGACUGAAGAUGAGGUGGGGUCGACUGUGAAGACUACUACCAAAUAUGCAUUCGUCGCGCCAGGUGCUAGAGGUGUUAUAGGAAAGGAAUGAGGACGAGGAGUUACUUUUGGCUCUUUUGCUACGUCUUUUAUCUCUUUGAGAUAAAUAUCAAAGUUCUUUUUGAACUGCUUCAAUAUUAUUUUUACUAGGUUGAUCAGUUAAUAUGCUACAAAUUUUCUUGACACUUGUUAUAUCCGCUCCUUCCUUGGUAAAACUGUUACAUUACAGAGCACCAUAUAAGUUGGAUCAAGAGCACCAUCUCAACCCAUGUUUUGAUUCGCUGCUCAACAAUCACAAGUCCACCCUACGACAUCACCUGUUUCAACUGAAUGACCAUUGUUUUUGUCUGCUGACCAGGUUAGUAACAAUAUGCCCGACUUUUUAAUUUAUUUAUUUUUACCUAUUGAAGUUGAUAAUUUAAAGUACGUUGGGUGAUUCGUUUAUUGAACAUUGUUCAGUGGGAGGCUUCUUUGAAGAAUUUUACCCUCCCCUCUUUCGUUAGGUACCUCUUCUUCAAUGUAUAUAGUGAGUAAAAUUUGAUGUACUACCUCUACUACUACUUCACAAAUGGUAUUUUGUGUUGUAUUUUAAGUCUUAAUGGUAUUAUGUAUGGUUUCCUUAUUAGAUGUUUUCAGAAAUUCCUAUCAAUACAUGAAAGAGCAAUUUAAAACAGAUGGAAAAAAACCAUAUUGUUGUUAACUCUUGUUGCCUUUUUAUGUGUUUCCAGUUUAACUUUUGUGAUCCCUUAUCCUAACCAAAUGAUGGAACUUGUCUUUAUCUAUAGUUAACUUAGUUGCAGAGAGGAAAUGGAACAAAUGGAGAGGAUACUUGCAUGCACAAUGUGUGAAAAAUAAUCCAAUCCAACAGGCUCUUAAGAAUAUGCCAAAGGGAGCAGACAAGAAAGAAUGGGAGUGGUUAGUAAAAGAACAUUUUACUUCAGAAAGUUUUCAGGUAUGUCUAGUGAUUUACUAGUCUAUUUCACCCAAUCAUCUGUAGCCUUAGAAGAUGAGAUGAAAGAAAUUAAGAAAAUAAAAGAAUUCUUUGCCGCUCAACAAUCAUAUGCCCCGCCGACGACAUCGCCCGUUUCAACUGAAUGACCACUGUUUUUGUCUGCUAACCAAGUUAGUAACAAUAUACCCGACUUUUUAAUUUAGUUUGUUGAUUUGCGUAUAGUCAAUUUCUAUCUAACACUGAUUCUAGCAGUUGCUUGACUUCACCACUAAUGAUGCUUGUUUCUAGCUCCGUACAUGCUCUAAAAGAUUGCUAUUGCUCUGUGAUCUGUUUGACAUGUGUGUUUGUCAUUUCUAUUUUUUACCUUGUUUCUCUAGCAUAUCAGAUCUCUUUCAGCUUAUUUGUGAUACCUGGCCAUGGUUGGGCUGUAUUUGAGGCUUUGCAAGAAUACCUUGUUGUUGUUGUUGCUGAGUAAUUGCCUUAAGAAUACCUCCUGUUGUUGCUACUGCUUGCAAAUUUCCACCUGAAGCCUGAAUUUGUGAAUAGCACUAAGCUGAUCCAACUGACUAGUACCGUGUAUUUUACCACUUGUAGGAGUGCCAUCAUGUUUCUUAGUAUUGGAUUGCUUUUAAUAGUGAGAACUUUCCUUUGGAGUUGCAUUAUCCUUGUACAACUCCAGCCCUACAGUUCUAUUGGGAUCUUGAUAUGUCAACCUCCUGCUCCUUGUGCUGCUGCUUUUGUGUAUUGUCAUCAGUAUGCUAUAUGACUUUUGAUAGGUAUUUUUGUUGUUGUUUUGCAUAAACUGGUGCUGCAUCAUGUUUUACCUAAUUUGUUACUAGCGAAUGAUAAAUGCAGUUCAGGCAGCUAGCUACUAAAGCUUAAUCAUAUGCUUCCACCAUCUCUUUCAAUCGAACUUAUGUAAAAUCACUUUCUUACUACUUAACUGUUUGACAAGUACUCAAGGGAUUUUGUGAAACUCAUUCACUUGCAAGUUGCAAAUCUUAAAGUUCGAUAUUAAGAUCUAUGAUGAUCAAUGUGCAUUUAGAUAGUAUUAAAGAAAUCGACAAAGUUCACAAGGAAAGUACACUUUUAACCCUAUCCUCUAUGCUUUAUUCCUUCUAUACAAUUUAGUAGUCUUUUCCUAUCUAUGAAUAUGAAUAGGACAGAUAAACUUUUAGCUAUUCGAAGGGUGGCACUGAUAGUGUUCAUUUCGUUGAAGGUUAACUUAGUUGAUGACUUCAACAUACUACAAAAAUACACUUGAUAAGAGGAAAAAAACUUACUACACAACGCUUGUCUGAAGCCAGAUUAACUCAUCUGGUCAGUGGUCAGUUUGAUGUUACUUCAAAGUCAUGUAUCAUUCAGUUAUAUCUUGCAGAGAGAUCUGAUGAUUCGUUAUGCCAUUGGGAGAUGGCUUAGGUUUAUACUGAAUAUGUAGAAACAAUUUCUGAUUGAUUAGACUAAGUAGUUUCAGUUUAGAAUUUAAACGCAGUCGCUUGUUCUAUUGUUCAUGCAAUCGCAGUUUCUCUUCCCUUUUUUAUUUUGGUGCGAGUUGUUAAGACUGAUGAAAUUCUCUAUUCGGAAUUGAAGCACAUACGAAGUUGCGACAGCUUGUGCACUAAUUUGUAUUAUAGACGGCCCAAUUCUUGAUGAGUCUAGCCGUCUGAUUCGUUUCUUAACUCUUCAAGAUGCUGAUAUGCUGGUCUGCAAACGAGUUGAGCAAAGUUAGACUGCUGCUAAUUAUGUAAAAGUUGUUAGUCAGGAGGACUUCAAUCGUUUAGGUUACAAUGGUUCCAACGGAUUGCUCCCUUCCCAAAAUGGCAAUGGUUAUAGCCGAAGAUACAAUCCUACAUUUCAGAAUGGCAUUGGUUUUGACAAUGGUAAUGGGCUUUGGUCUAGUGAACAAGGUUUUGCAAUUGGAGGACAAGAGAAACUAAGUCGGUUAAAUGGUUAUCUCUCAGAAUUAGCUGCUGCUGCUUUUGUUUGCCGAGUAAGUCCCAAAAACACUUGUGUUUUCAGUAGGUAGUAGUCGUUUGAAUUAUUCUUUUACCAUGCUUUGUCCUAUUCAUUAUAACCUGUUACUGAUGAAUCUAGAAGAUACUAAGGAAGAUUACAGAUUCUCUUGUACUUUUUUUUUAAAUUUCUUAUGAUAAGCCUUUGCAGUAGAGAUAUGUGCAUUUCAUGAAUAGACAAUUCUUUAUAUUUUACAUUAGUGUUUAACAUUGUGCCGUUCAUCUUAAAUAUCCACUCUCCUAGUGGUCUUCCAUCUUAGUUGCUUUAAACGUGUAAAUUUUCAUUCUCUAGAAUAUUGUCACCUCACCUAUUAGCGUGAUAUCUUUUUCUUGUCAAAACUCAUUCAAAUUAUAUAUUCCCAUUUCCAUCACGGAGGUGUUCAAAGAGUGCACCUGCUGGAUGGCACUAUUGGUGGAGUUUUACUAAAGGAAUUGUUCUAAAGAGAUGGAGUUGGGUCAAUGGUUGCUAGGUUUUGAAGAUUGAAUUUGACAAGCCAAGAUGGAAGUUUAGAAGAUGCAGAAGCUCAUUAUUUUGCUAGGAAUGUUAUGCACUCGCUAUCGUAGUCUAGCUCAAGUGUUAGCGAUGUUUUUUUGUUAAGCUGUCGAGAAAAUAUUGAAACUAACAUCAUGGGAUGUUAACAAUUUUACUGUAAUUAAUAACUCUAUCUUCAU
Long non-coding RNA from Lycium barbarum (goji berry), 3904 nucleotides. RefSeq lists it as uncharacterized. NCBI's taxonomy places the organism in Eukaryota, Viridiplantae, Streptophyta, Magnoliopsida, Solanales, Solanaceae. The record is from RefSeq and is a predicted model, not a curated record. The transcript is spliced from 3 exons.